RNAcentral lists this ribosomal RNA (285 nucleotides) under Triticum aestivum (bread wheat). Its description in RNAcentral is "partial small subunit ribosomal RNA". The record is from RNAcentral. Lineage: Eukaryota; Viridiplantae; Streptophyta; Magnoliopsida; Poales; Poaceae.
AUGUGGUAUCUUCGUAGGGGAGUUGUGCUAACCAAAGACAACAUUGCAUGAUGCAGCUGGCCAGGAAGUAAGCAGUGUUGCUUUUGUCCUCAUGACGAGACAAUCAAGCACCUCUUUUUCCAAUGCAAGUUUGCACGUUCUACAUGGUCAGUCAUCCAAAUAGCGUCAAAUUUGUAUCCACCCACAAGUGUUGCCAAUAUAUUUGGUCAUUGGUUGGACGGUAUUUCAAAUAAGUUCAAAACGCUAAUAAGGGUGUGAGCGUAUGCCUUACUUUGGUCGCUUUAG